This 352-nucleotide ribosomal RNA is filed under the name Ixodes scapularis (black-legged tick). RNAcentral describes it as "partial 16S ribosomal RNA". The record is from RNAcentral. Lineage: Eukaryota; Metazoa; Arthropoda; Arachnida; Ixodida; Ixodidae.
GGUAUUGAAAUAAGAUUUUAAAUGAGUGCUAAGAGAAUGAUUAAACAAUUAAAAGCUUUCUUUAAUUAAAAAAUUAAAUUUAAUUUUUUUAGUGCAAAAGCAAAAAUAAAAUUUAGGGACAAGAAGACCCUAUGAAUUUUUAUUGUUAAUAAUUAAUAUUUAAGUUAUUAAUAAUUUAAUUGGGGCGAUAAAAAAAGAAUAAGUAUCUUUUUAGUUAUAAAAUAAGUUCCGUUUUUAACGAUUAAAUGAAAUAAAUACUCUAGGGAUAACAGCGUAAUAAUUUUGGAUAGUUCAUAUAGAUAAAAUAGUUUGCGACCUCGAUGUUGGAUUAGGAUUCUUUUUUGGUGAAGAA